This 253-nucleotide ribosomal RNA is filed under the name uncultured bacterium. RNAcentral's name for it is "partial 16S ribosomal RNA". It matches the Rfam family "Bacterial small subunit ribosomal RNA", at positions 524 to 776 of the family's 1533-position model. The record is from RNAcentral.
UACAGAGGGGGCAAGCGUUGUCCGGAUUUACUGGGCGUACAGCGCGCGCAGGCGGUUGCGUAUGUGAGCGGUGACAUCCGCGGGCUCAACCCGCGGCGGCCCGCUUACACAGCGCGACUGGAGGCAGGGAGAGGGAUGUGGAAUACCCGGUGGAGCGGUGAAAUGCGCAGAUAUCAGGAGGAACACCAAUUGCGAAGGCAGCUCGCUGGGACGUAACUGACGCUGAGACGCGAAAGCGUGGGGAGCAAACAGG